AUACGGAGGAUGCGAGCGUUAUCCGGAUUUAUUGGGUUUAAAGGGUGCGCAGGCGGGCGAUUAAGUCAGCGGUGAAAGGCUCGGGCUCAACCGGAGCAGUGCCGUUGAUACUGGUUGUCUUGAAUGCGGUCAAGGCCGGCGGAAUGUGGCGUGUAGCGGUGAAAUGCAUAGAUAUGCCACAGAACACCGAUAGCGAAGGCAGCUGGCCGGGCCUGCAUUGACGCUGAGGCACGAAAGCGUGGGGAUCGAACAGGAUUAGAUACCCUGGUAGUCCACGCUGUAAACGAUGGACACUCGUUGUCGGCGACAGACAGUCGGCGGCCAAGCGAAAGUGAUAAGUGUCCCACCUGGGGAGUACGGUCGCAAGGCUGAAACUUAAAGGAAUGGGCGGGG
RNAcentral lists this ribosomal RNA (393 nucleotides) under uncultured bacterium. RNAcentral describes it as "partial 16S ribosomal RNA". It matches the Rfam family "Bacterial small subunit ribosomal RNA", at positions 523 to 918 of the family's 1533-position model. The record is from RNAcentral.